UGCCAGCAGCCGCGGUAAUACGUAGGGUGCGAGCGUUGUCCGGAAUUACUGGGCGUAAAGAGCUUGUAGGCGGUUUGUCGCGUCGUCUGUGAAAACUCGCAGCUCAACUGUGAGCCUACAGGCGAUACGGGCAGACUUGAGUACUGCAGGGGAGACUGGAAUUCCUGGUGUAGCGGUGGAAUGCGCAGAUAUCAGGAGGAACACCGGUGGCGAAGGCGGGUCUCUGGGCAGUAACUGACGCUGAGAAGCGAAAGCGUGGGUAGCGAACAGGAUUAGAUA
Molecule: ribosomal RNA, 279 nt
Filed under: uncultured bacterium
Lineage: Bacteria
Description: partial 16S ribosomal RNA
Rfam family: Bacterial small subunit ribosomal RNA
Source: RNAcentral